This 398-nucleotide ribosomal RNA is filed under the name uncultured bacterium. RNAcentral's name for it is "bacterial SSU rRNA". It matches the Rfam family "Bacterial small subunit ribosomal RNA", at positions 29 to 415 of the family's 1533-position model. The record is from RNAcentral.
AAUGAACGCUGGCGGCGCGCCUAAUACAUGCAAGUCGAGCGAGAAGACGUAGCAAUACGUUUGUAAAGCGGCGAACGGGUGAGGAAUACAUGGGUAACCUACCCUCGAGUGGGGAAUAACUAGCCGAAAGGUUAGCUAAUACCGCGUACGCUCCUUGGACUUCGGUUCAGGGAGGAAAGCGAUACCGUGGGUAUCGCGCUCUUGGUUGGGCUCAUGUCCUAUCAGCUUGUUGGUGAGGAACGGCUCACCAAGGCUUCGACGGGUAGCUGGUCUGAGAGGACGAUCAGCCACACUGGCACUGCGACACGGGCCAGACUCCUACGGGAGGCAGCAGUAAGGAAUAUUGCGCAAUGGGCGAAAAGCCUGACGCAGCGACGCCGCGUGGGGGGAGUGAAGGU